Myodes glareolus (Bank vole) is the source of this 995-nucleotide non-coding RNA. NCBI's taxonomy places the organism in Eukaryota, Metazoa, Chordata, Mammalia, Rodentia, Cricetidae. The record is from RefSeq and is a predicted model, not a curated record.
CUCCUGACCUCCUCCAAAACGAGCACCCAUCUAUUUCAUCCCAGAUUCCCGACAGAUCAUAUUAGGGAGAGUUCAUUGAAAUAAACUUGGCAUUUAAAUUAAGUGUUCCCCAAAGCAUCUUGGCAGAGCUGUAGCUAAUGAUGGCGGAGGUCUGUGCCAGGUUUGGAUUUAUCCUGGACCUCAGUGAUUGUCUCCCACACACAGCCCACUGGUACCCUUGGCUCCUGUGGCCUGGACCUUGGAUCCCUGUGCUUCUCAAGCUCAAGCAUCACAAGUACAGUUCUUGACACAAGAAACAUGUCAGUAUUCUCCUGUCUCGGAGGAAGACAUGAACAUGCUGAUGAAUACACUCUCAUUCAGCCAGUGGGGAACAGCUGGUCACUGCUUCCAGGGAGAAAUGCCAGCCCAAGCUUUGUCUUAUUUUUCCAGAGAAGCCAUAAAUCUGGAAUAUAAAACUUACUGUUUAUUCAGUUGAUUUUAUUACAGAUAUGACAAAAUGAAAAAAGUUUUGGUGUGUUUACUAUUAAUGUUAUUAUUAGUAUUUUUGUGACAGUCUUUUACUUACUGUAAUCCAGACUGAUCUGGAACUCACUAGGUAUCCCAGGCUAGUCUCAAACUCUUGGUAAUCCUCCUGGGUGCUGGGAUUAUAGACACCAUAUCCAUCUUUAUUCUUUCUAAGGUUUAUGGAAAGACCUGUUUUCUCCCAUUAUACUUUCAAUGUCAUGAUAAGCAAUAGCUUAGGAAAAUACUUCUAAACUUGAAUUUCUUUAUAUCAUGUUAACAUGGUUUUUAAGGACACAUUUAUUUUCAUAUAUCCAACGUGCAGUGUGUUGCUCCAACCCAUCCCCUUCAUCUACCAUCUCCCACUUUCAACCUUAGAAAUGUCUCUGAAACCUGAAGCCAGGGACCCAAUGUCUAACCAAAAACUUUGUCAUUUCCUCAGUCCUGUUCUAAUGUGCUUUCUGUUUCUAUAAUAAAGCCACGAACAAAAGUAA